Molecule: ribosomal RNA, 497 nt
Filed under: uncultured bacterium
Lineage: Bacteria
Description: partial 16S ribosomal RNA
Rfam family: Bacterial small subunit ribosomal RNA
Source: RNAcentral
GAUGAACGCUGGCGGCGUGCUUAACACAUGCAAGUCGAACGAAGCACCUUAUUCUGAUUUCUUCGGAAUGAAAAAUUUGGUGACUGAGUGGCGGACGGGUGAGUAACGCGUGGGUAACCUGCCUCAUACAGGGGGAUAACAGUUAGAAAUGACUGCUAAUACCGCAUAAGACCACAGCACCGCAUGGUGCAGGGGUAAAAACUCCGGUGGUAUGAGAUGGACCCGCGUCUGAUUAGGUAGUUGGUGGGGUAACGGCCUACCAAGCCGACGAUCAGGAGCCGACCUGAGAGGGUGACCGGCCACAUUGGGACUGAGACACGGCCCAAACUCCUACGGGAGGCAGCAGUGGGGAAUAUUGCACAAUGGGGGAAACCCUGAUGCAGCGACGCCGCGUGAGCGAUGAAGUAUUUCGGUAUGUAAAGCUCUAUCAGCAGGGAAGAGAAUGACGGUACCUGACUAAGAAGCCCCGGCUAACUACGUGCCAGCCGCCGCCGUAA